ACGGAGGGUGCUAGCGUUGUUCGGAAUUACUGGGCGUAAAGGGCGCGUAGGCGGCCAGGCAAGUCGGAUGUGAAAGCCCGGGGCUCAACCUCGGAACUGCAUUCGAAACUGCUUGGCUAGAGAACGGAAGAGGAGAGUGGAAUACCCAGUGUAGAGGUGAAAUUCGUAGAUAUUGGGUGGAACACCGGUGGCGAAAGCGGCUCUCUGGUCCGGAUCUGACGCUGAGGCGCGAAAGCGUGGGGAGCAAACAGG
Molecule: ribosomal RNA, 252 nt
Filed under: uncultured bacterium
Lineage: Bacteria
Description: partial 16S ribosomal RNA
Rfam family: Bacterial small subunit ribosomal RNA
Source: RNAcentral